This is a long non-coding RNA of Jatropha curcas, 752 nucleotides long. RefSeq lists it as uncharacterized. NCBI's taxonomy places the organism in Eukaryota, Viridiplantae, Streptophyta, Magnoliopsida, Malpighiales, Euphorbiaceae. The record is from RefSeq and is a predicted model, not a curated record.
ACAGUUUUCCUCUCAAAAUCCCUAAUUAAUAAUCAUCAAACACAUCGGUCUCCCUCUCUCUGAAAUCCUGAAAAUACAUCGCUAAGUCUCUACUCCUAAUCCCCCUAUGUUCUACGCAUAGUCUUUACUCCUAAUCCCCUCUCUUCAAAUUGUUUUUCGAUUGAGUUGGUAUCAUAUCUGGAAAUGGCCUCGACAAACAAAACAGAUAUAAGCCUCGACAAACAAAACAGAUAUAAGCCAAGCAACAGAAACAACUGUGAGGGGCGAGAGUGGAGUGUAGGUAUAAUCUGAGGGCAAGACUAUAUACAUCAUAGAGUUCUCGUAAUCCAAGGAGGCGUUUCUUUUGCUAUUCCCAUUUGAAGAGUUUCUCAUGUGAGAAGGAAGUAAUGACAUUUUUUAUAAGCCAAAGGCAUUCACUGAAGCAGCAAGUAAAGUUGAUGGAUAAGAAGGAUGAGUUGAAUGUAGCGAAGAGAGCAAAGUUGGAGCAGAAGUGUAAAAGGAGAAAAGAUGAAUUGGUAUGCUUUAAAGCAUAAAACCAAGCCUUGUAGACUGAGAUUAGUUCAAUGAAGAUUGAUAAGGCUAAGCUGAAUUAUAGGGAGAAGUUGUAUAUGAUGUGUAUUGUUUGUUUGCAAGUAAUGUGAUUGUAAUUUUUAAGUAGCUACUCUACUUUUAGGCAAACACAUUAGCUCCUAAAACACUUAUACUCAUCAUAAUGAGUUUUAAUAAUAAAAGUCUUCUCCCUUUAUAGUUCA